UACGUAGGGACCAAGCGUUGUUCGGAUUUACUGGGCGUAAAGGGCGCGUAGGCGGCUUAACAAGUCACUUGUGAAAUCUCCGGGCUUAACUCGGAACGGCCAAGUGAAACUGCAGUGCUAGAAUUCUGGAGAGGCGAGUGGAAUUCCGAGUGUAGAGGUGAAAUUCGUAGAUAUUCGGAAGAACACCAGUGGCGAAGGCGACUCGCUGGACAGACAUUGACGCUGAGGUGCGAAAGCGUGGGGAGCAAACAGG
RNAcentral lists this ribosomal RNA (253 nucleotides) under uncultured bacterium. RNAcentral describes it as "partial 16S ribosomal RNA". It matches the Rfam family "Bacterial small subunit ribosomal RNA", at positions 524 to 776 of the family's 1533-position model. The record is from RNAcentral.